Molecule: ribosomal RNA, 483 nt
Filed under: Burkholderia sp. C2PML415
Lineage: Bacteria; Pseudomonadati; Pseudomonadota; Betaproteobacteria; Burkholderiales; Burkholderiaceae
Description: bacterial SSU rRNA
Rfam family: Bacterial small subunit ribosomal RNA
Source: RNAcentral
AUCCUGGCUCAGAUUGAACGCUGGCGGCAUGCCUUACACAUGCAAGUCGAACGGCAGCACGGGGGCAACCCUGGUGGCGAGUGGCGAACGGGUGAGUAAUACAUCGGAACGUGUCCUGUAGUGGGGGAUAGCCCGGCGAAAGCCGGAUUAAUACCGCAUACGAUCUACGGAAGAAAGCGGGGGAUCCUUCGGGACCUCGCGCUAUAGGGGCGGCCGAUGGCAGAUUAGCUAGUUGGUGGGGUAAAGGCCUACCAAGGCGACGAUCUGUAGCUGGUCUGAGAGGACGACCAGCCACACUGGGACUGAGACACGGCCCAGACUCCUACGGGAGGCAGCAGUGGGGAAUUUUGGACAAUGGGGGAAACCCUGAUCCAGCAAUGCCGCGUGUGUGAAGAAGGCCUUCGGGUUGUAAAGCACUUUUGUCCGGAAAGAAAACUUCUGCCCUAAUACGGUGGGAGGAUGACGGUACCGGAAGAAUAGCAC